CCUACGGGAGGCAGCAGUAAGGAAUAUUGGUCAAUGGAGGCAACUCUGAACCAGCCAUGCCGCGUGCAGGAAGACAGCCCUAUGGGUCGUAAACUGCUUUUAUACGGGAAUAAACUUUGAUUCGUGAAUCAAGCUGAAUGUACCGUAAGAAUAAGGAUCGGCUAACUCCGUGCCAGCAGCCGCGGUAAUACGGAGGAUCCAAGCGUUAUCCGGAUUUAUUGGGUUUAAAGGGAGCGUAGGCGGCCUAUUAAGUCAGGGGUGAAAGACGGUGGCUCAACCAUCGCAGUGCCUUUGAUACUGAUGGGCUUGAAUAUAGUUGAGGUAGGCGGAAUGUGACAAGUAGCGGUGAAAUGCAUAGAUAUGUCACAGAACACCGAUUGCGAAGGCAGCUUACUAAGCUAUGAUUGACGCUGAGGCUCGAAAGCGUGGGGAUCAAACAGGAUUAGAUACCCUGGUAGUCCACGCCCUAAACGAUGAUAACUCGAUGUUGGCGAUAUACAGUCAGCGUCCAAGCGAAAGCGUUAAGUUAUCCACCUGGGGAGUACGCCCGCAGGGUGAACGUUACGAAGUAGUGACGAGNGAGNGNGCGACGACGACGAGAGGNG
Molecule: ribosomal RNA, 605 nt
Filed under: uncultured bacterium
Lineage: Bacteria
Description: bacterial SSU rRNA
Rfam family: Bacterial small subunit ribosomal RNA
Source: RNAcentral